GUGUUGGAUAAGAUUAACAAUGAACGAACUAUCAUAACCAUAAAAAUAAAAUAAACAUGAAUUUUAGGUGAUGAACGACGACGGAUUGACUUCUAGUUGUGAAAUUGACAUUUACUUGCCUUCAUCCUUAAGCUCCACUAAUAUAUAUAAUCACUUCAUCUUUCAACACUUCGCCACAAACAGCAGCAAAAGAAGAAAGGAGAGAAGAUGCACAAUCCUCCGCCACAUCACGACCCACAUCACCCAGGUCCACCACACCACGGACCACCUCCUCCGCAUGCACCACCUCCUGGGCCUCCACCUCCUCAGCAUCACCAUGAUCAUCAUCCUCCUCCGCCAGGCCCCCAUCAUCCUCCGCCAGCUGAUCCCCAUCCACAUCCACCGGGUCCUCAUGGUCCACACCAUGAUCCACCCCAUCACCACCGCUGAUUAGUCUAAUGGGCAGUUGGCCACUUAUUAUAAAUAUGGUGUGUAACGUGUGUAGCGCUAUGUGGUUUAUGCUAUUGCUAGUUGUUCUGCGCUGCUAGCUACUUGUUAUAAUUAAGAAAAUAAUUAGAGCACCAUUUCUAUGAGGUUGCUCUUGUUAUUUCUCUCUUUUGUGUUUCUUUCCUUUUUUUUUUCUCACUUAAUAAUAA
RNAcentral lists this unclassified non-coding RNA (635 nucleotides) under Hevea brasiliensis (rubber tree). Lineage: Eukaryota; Viridiplantae; Streptophyta; Magnoliopsida; Malpighiales; Euphorbiaceae. The record is from RNAcentral.